Molecule: long non-coding RNA, 535 nt
Organism: Mustela erminea (ermine)
Lineage: Eukaryota; Metazoa; Chordata; Mammalia; Carnivora; Mustelidae
Exons: 2
Source: RefSeq, a predicted model, not a curated record
GUUAUUUAUGUCUACUGAGUCGGUGUGACAGCAGUGUUCACCUCUUCCCAAUCAAGGAGGUUACGGUGGUCACAGGAGAUCGGCCAAGGUCUCGCUGGCCAAUGAGUGACUCCUUUGCCUCUUAACUGCCGGAUCCCAACCAGCUGUGUUGCUAUCUUGCUAUCCUUCUGGAAUAUCUCAAAGCACUAGAACUCUUCUUCCCGCUGCCGGGGGCCACGGUGACCUUAAAGCACAGGUGAAAGAUGGUUCCAGCUUUUUCAUUCACAAGCAGAACUGAGCACGUGUCAUUAUGCUCUGUCGGCAAGUUUCCCCCAACUUGUACAGCCGCUCUGUUUCAAUCUCGGUUCCGCUCUGCCUCCUGCAGAACGGACAAGUCUUGUGAGAGGAAAUCUCUCUCACCAGCAUGCACAGCUGUCUCCAGGGAACCAAAUAUUUUCCCCUGUGGCCCUGCCUCAGCAUUGCUUCUUGGACUCGCUGUUCUGGAAUAACCUUUCUGAAGGCGGUGAGGGGCUGGGUCAUUAAAAAAAAAAAAAAA